CAGUUUUGUCUUGUAUUUAUUUACACAUUUCUAGGCUCAGCAGUACUGGAUGCCUUCGAUCCAGUGAUUUAUAUGGAACACGAGGCUAUCAUGGGGGGGUUUAAAUGCCUAUAUUACUUAACAAAAAAAGAACAGGCACACCACACAAACUACCCAGCACUUCUGGAAUUGGCAGAGCUGCUUGGGUGCGAUUACUUCAAAAAGCUUAAGGUAAAUAAACUUUCUUGCUAUAAUAUUUGCAAAUAUUACUACUAGUCAGAUUGAGUACAUAAGGUAAAAUCCAGAUUCAUUUUAUUUGUUCACAGAUUGGGAAAAGAACCAACUAUAGAUCACAUCGAAUUAUUGACGAGAUGCUUGAGAUUUUGGCUGCAGUGGUGGAGGAGCCCAUACUUAAGGACAUCCAGUCUUCUGUGGCUAUAGGGCUAGAAAUUGAUGAGAGCACGGAUGUGUUCGUGACAAGGCAGCUGGAUCUGCAUGUCAGAUAUAUGGAUGCAGAAGGCAAGCUUUAUAGUCAGUUCCUUGACUUAGUGGCAUUGUCUGAUGGGAAGGCAAACACCAUUGUGGCAGCUCUAAAUGAAGUGCUCGUCAAAAAAAAGGUCCCUACAGAAAAGCUGUUUGGACUGGGAACAGAUGGAGCAGCAGUAAUGACUGGUACUGUAUGAACUUGUUUACACAGAGUUGUUUUUUUUACUGUCAGUGUUUUUGUCAAAACUGAUCAACAGUUGUGUGAUCAGAUGACUAAAUAACUAAAAUAACCAUAGUACCACUAGCAAGCAUGGAGGAAGUGAGUGGCCUGUAUUUGCUUCCUUUUUGUAACAGGGAGGCUGAAUGGUGUAGCAAAGCAGAUGCAGGAUUCCUUGCCCUGGUUGCUGUCUGUUGCCUGUGCUGCUCAUCGCCUCGCCCUGGCUUGUAAGGAUGCUUCAUCUGAAGUUCCAUACAUGGGAACAUUCAGGGAUCAUCUACAAAGUCUCCACCUGUAUUUUCACAACAGCGCAAACAGAACUGCAGUUCUUAGAGCUGCUUCACAGGUCUUGGGCCUUGACAACCUGACUGUAAAGGAAGUGAAGGACACACGGUGGCUGUCUCAGCAUCUGGCAGUGAGCAAUCUACAACGCAACCUUUGCGCAGUGCUUGGUGCCUUGGC
Molecule: non-coding RNA, 1144 nt
Organism: Nothobranchius furzeri (turquoise killifish)
Lineage: Eukaryota; Metazoa; Chordata; Actinopteri; Cyprinodontiformes; Nothobranchiidae
Source: RefSeq, a predicted model, not a curated record